GGUUGACCUCGGAUCAGGUAGGGUUACCCGCUGAACUUAAGCAUAUCAAUAAGCGGAGGAAAAGAAACCAACAGGGAUUGCCUCAGUAACGGCGAGUGAAGCGGCAAGAGCUCAAAUUUGAAAUCUGGCCCCUCCGGGGUCCGAGUUGUAAUUUGGAGAGGAUGCUUCGGGCGUGGCCCCCAUCUAAGUGCCCUGGAACGGGCCGUCAUAGAGGGUGAGAAU
This 222-nucleotide ribosomal RNA is filed under the name Penicillium ilerdanum. Its description in RNAcentral is "partial 28S ribosomal RNA". It matches the Rfam family "Eukaryotic large subunit ribosomal RNA", at positions 1 to 219 of the family's 3401-position model. The record is from RNAcentral. Lineage: Eukaryota; Fungi; Ascomycota; Eurotiomycetes; Eurotiales; Aspergillaceae.